RNAcentral lists this ribosomal RNA (493 nucleotides) under uncultured bacterium. RNAcentral's name for it is "partial 16S ribosomal RNA". It matches the Rfam family "Bacterial small subunit ribosomal RNA", at positions 29 to 507 of the family's 1533-position model. The record is from RNAcentral.
AACGAACGCUGGCGGCGCGUCUUAAACAUGCAAGUCGAACGGCAGGAAGGGGCUUGCCCCUUCUGAGAGUGGCGGACUGGUGAGUAACACGUGGGUGACAUACCUUUUAGUUGGGGAUAGCUAUUAGAAAUAGUAGGUAAUACCGAAUGUGACCGUACCUGUUAGAGGGGUACGAGGAAAGGAGCUAAGGCUUCGCUAAAAGAAUGGCUCGCGGCCCAUUAUGCUCGUUGGUGAGGUAACGGCCCACCAAGGCGAUGAUGGGUAUCCGGCCUGAGAGGGUGAACGGACACAUUGGGACUGAGAUACGGCCCAGACUUCUACGGGAGGCAGCAGUUAAGAAUAUUCCGCAAUGGACGAAAGUCUGACGGAGCGACGCCGCGUGGAUGAAGAAUGCCGAAAGGUUGUAAAAUCCUUUUAAGCCUGAUGAAUAAGCACAGUAGGGAAUGAUUGUGAGGUGACCGUAGGGCUUGAAUAAGCACCGGCUAAUUACGUG